AGUGAACGCUGGCGGUAGGCCUAACACAUGCAAGUCGAACGGCAGCACAGUAAGAGCUUGCUCUUACGGGUGGCGAGUGGCGGACGGGUGAGGAAUACAUCGGAAUCUACUUUUUCGUGGGGGAUAACGUAGGGAAACUUACGCUAAUACCGCAUACGACCUACGGGUGAAAGCAGGGGAUCUUCGGACCUUGCGCGAUUGAAUGAGCCGAUGUCGGAUUAGCUAGUUGGCGGGGUAAAGGCCCACCAAGGCGACGAUCCGUAGCUGGUCUGAGAGGAUGAUCAGCCACACUGGAACUGAGACACGAUCCAGACUCCUACGGGAGGCAGCAGUGGGGAAUAUUGGACAAUGGGCGCAAGCCUGAUCCAGCCAUACCGCGUGGGUGAAGAAGGCCUUCGGGUUGUAAAGCCCUUUUGUUGGGAAAGAAAAGCAGCAGGUUAAUACCCCGCUGUUCUGACGGUACCCAAAGAAUAAGCACCGGCUAACUUCAUG
This 492-nucleotide ribosomal RNA is filed under the name uncultured bacterium. RNAcentral's name for it is "partial 16S ribosomal RNA". It matches the Rfam family "Bacterial small subunit ribosomal RNA", at positions 29 to 507 of the family's 1533-position model. The record is from RNAcentral.